UACAGAGGGUGCUAGCGUUGUUCGGAAUCAUUGGGCGUAAAGGGCGUGUAGGCGGUUUGUUAAGUCAUGUGUGAAAUCCCUCGGCUCAACCGGGGAACGACGCAUGAAACUGGCAAGCUAGAGUACCAAAGAGGGGGGUGGAAUUCCCGGUGUAGCGGUGAAAUGCGUAGAUAUCAGGAAGAACACCCGUGGCGAAGGCGGCUCUCCGGGACGGUACUGACGCUGAGACGCGAAAGCGUGGGGAGCGAACAGG
RNAcentral lists this ribosomal RNA (253 nucleotides) under uncultured bacterium. Its description in RNAcentral is "partial 16S ribosomal RNA". It matches the Rfam family "Bacterial small subunit ribosomal RNA", at positions 524 to 776 of the family's 1533-position model. The record is from RNAcentral.